RNAcentral lists this long non-coding RNA (267 nucleotides) under Prunus persica (peach). Its description in RNAcentral is "long non-coding RNA (PPER_LNC006138)". The record is from RNAcentral. Lineage: Eukaryota; Viridiplantae; Streptophyta; Magnoliopsida; Rosales; Rosaceae.
UUUUUGUUAAGAUAUGAUGUUUCUCUGUAAUUUUUUUAUUUUUUAUAAAUUGUGGUUGUAUUUCUCUCCACUCUACUACUCUGAUAGGUUUAAUGUCAUGUGGCUAUACAUGUGGAUGGAUUAUGUGGAUGGAUUAUGCCAACAUCCUCAAUGGACAGGUAGACCCUAAUGAUCCAUUUUCAACAUUUGGUUACAUGCCUGCUACUCAAAAUGAAGGUGACAAUGAAGUGCCUCAAGUGACUGUUUUAAUUGGAUCAACCACCACGA